This 309-nucleotide ribosomal RNA is filed under the name Triticum aestivum (bread wheat). RNAcentral's name for it is "partial small subunit ribosomal RNA". Lineage: Eukaryota; Viridiplantae; Streptophyta; Magnoliopsida; Poales; Poaceae. The record is from RNAcentral.
AUGAACACCGACAUCACCGCGUCAGUGAAGCCGGAGUACCCGGUGGUGGAUCGGAACCCUGCCUUCACCAAGGUCGUCGGCAACUUCUCCGCGCUCGACUACAUGCGCCUCUCCACCAUCUCCGCCGUCUCCGUCACCGUCGGCUACCUCUCCGGGAUCAAGCCGGGGAUCCGCGGGCCGUCGAUGGUGACGGGGGGCCUCAUCGGGGUCCUGGGAGGGUUCAUGUACGCCUACCAGAACUCCGCCGGACGCCUCAUGGGGUUCUUCCCCAACGAAUCCGAGGUCGCGCGCUACAAGUACAAGCUGUAG